Long non-coding RNA from Erigeron canadensis, 495 nucleotides. RefSeq lists it as uncharacterized. NCBI's taxonomy places the organism in Eukaryota, Viridiplantae, Streptophyta, Magnoliopsida, Asterales, Asteraceae. The transcript is spliced from 3 exons. The record is from RefSeq and is a predicted model, not a curated record.
GGCGAUAAGUGAUUUUUCAUUUCCCUGCUGAAGAUAAGGAAGUUAGGAAGGUCAAUCUGGAUAAUAUCAUAUUGGUAUCAUGAAGAUACGCAGGCUUGCGUAGAUGAUAUUGAACCAUAUAAGAUGAUCAAGGCCAUGUGUAGGCUUUCUUAUAGUGUUUAUGAUAAUAAUACUGAUAAUGGAUCCAAGGGAAGAACUCAGUUUGGUAACAUUCAUCGGUUUAAGAACCAGUUGGUUUUUCAAUAUAAAUUGUUCAUGUGCAACUUGUGCUUGAAAGGAAGGCAGGAAGCUAUUUAUACGUGAACAAAAGCUGUAUACCUGAGCAUAAUUAGAGCAACAUAUAUAUAUACAGGCGACUCUCGAGUUGAUGGAACCGAAGGUGAAAGAGGUGGCUUCAAGGGACAUGUCUUAUGUAAAUUCGUGACAUCAGCCUAAAGGGACUGAGAAGGAGACUUGCUAGAAUCGUUGUGGUGAGUUCAGGAUUCUAAUGUCAAU